Molecule: ribosomal RNA, 468 nt
Filed under: uncultured bacterium
Lineage: Bacteria
Description: partial 16S ribosomal RNA
Rfam family: Bacterial small subunit ribosomal RNA
Source: RNAcentral
GACGAACGCUGGCGGCGUGCUUAACACAUGCAAGUCGAACGGAAAGGCCCUGCUUUUGUGGGGUGCUCGAGUGGCGAACGGGUGAGUAACACGUGAGUAACCUGCCCUUGACUUUUGGAUAACUUCAGGAAACUGGGGCUAAUACCGGAUAGGAGCUCCUGCUGCAUGGUGGGGGUUGGAAAGUUUCGGCGGUUGGGGAUGGACUCGCGGCUUAUCAGCUUGUUGGUGGGGUAGUGGCUUACCAAGGCUUUGACGGGUAGCCGGCCUGAGAGGGUGACCGGCAACAUUGGGACGGAGAUACGGCCCAGACUCAUACGGGAGGCAGCAGUGGGGAAUAUUGCACAAUGGGCGGAAGCCUGAUGCAGCAACGCCGCGUGCGGGUUGAAGGCCUUAGGGUUGUAAACCGCUUUCGCCUGUGACGAAGCGUGAGGGAAGGUAAUGGGUAAAGAAGAACAGGCUAAAUACGUG